GACGAACGCUGGCGGCGUGCUUAACACAUGCAAGUCGAACGGUAAGGCCUUCCGGGGUACACGAGUGGCGAACGGGUGAGUAACACGUGGGUGAUCUGCCCUGCACUUCGGGAUAAGCCCGGGAAACUGGGUCUAAUACCGGAUAGGACUGCGCGGUGCAUGCCGUGUGGUGGAAAGAUUUAUCGGUGCAGGAUGGGCCCGCGGCCUAUCAGCUUGUUGGUGGGGUAAUGGCCUACCAAGGCGACGACGGGUAGCCGGCCUGAGAGGGCGACCGGCCACACUGGGACUGAGACACGGCCCAGACUCCUACGGGAGGCAGCAGUGGGGAAUAUUGCACAAUGGGCGCAAGCCUGAUGCAGCGACGCCGCGUGAGGGAUGACGGCCUUCGGGUUGUAAACCUCUUUCAGCAGGGACGAAGCGUGAGUGACGGUACCUGCAGAAGAAGCACCGGCCAACUACGUG
This 462-nucleotide ribosomal RNA is filed under the name uncultured bacterium. RNAcentral describes it as "partial 16S ribosomal RNA". It matches the Rfam family "Bacterial small subunit ribosomal RNA", at positions 28 to 507 of the family's 1533-position model. The record is from RNAcentral.